GAGAAAGGCUUCAUAGCAACGGAGACUGCUAAUCUACGACACCCUGGUUAAAAUCCAGGGCUUACUCG
RNAcentral lists this transfer RNA (68 nucleotides) under Inimicus japonicus (devil stinger). Its description in RNAcentral is "tRNA-Ser". Lineage: Eukaryota; Metazoa; Chordata; Actinopteri; Perciformes; Synanceiidae. The record is from RNAcentral.